UUAAAUAUAGUUUAACCAAAACAUUAUAUUUUCAUUAUAAAAAUAAUUUACUUUAAAUUUAUUUAAA
Molecule: transfer RNA, 67 nt
Filed under: Solenopsis invicta (red fire ant)
Lineage: Eukaryota; Metazoa; Arthropoda; Insecta; Hymenoptera; Formicidae
Also listed under: 2 other names
Description: tRNA-Glu
Source: RNAcentral